Long non-coding RNA from Phasianus colchicus (ring-necked pheasant), 2344 nucleotides. RefSeq lists it as uncharacterized. The record is from RefSeq and is a predicted model, not a curated record. NCBI's taxonomy places the organism in Eukaryota, Metazoa, Chordata, Aves, Galliformes, Phasianidae.
UAUUUGGUAUACUCCAAAUCUUCAGAGUCAUUUUCUUGCUUAGGUUUCCGACGUUUCCUUCGCUGGGGUCUUCUGGAACGCUUAGCUUGAACCCACUACUCUGCAGACGGGUGGAAAAGCCAUGGCAGCUCUCAUCUUACUUCAUGGAAAGGUCUAGCAUCUUUUGAGAAGACAGCUAUUGAGAGACUGAGACAAACUCCAGUGAGGUUCAGUGCUUGGCUACUUCUGGCCAGACUACUGUGUUCAGCAUUGUUACAAGUCAUUCAGGCUCCUUUGUUCCCCAGUACAUCACCUGUGAAGUUAAGACAGGACAACAUUUUCCCUCAACUCUGUAAAGAAAAAAUGCCACGAUGUACUCUAAGGGAUUAAAAAAACAGCUCUACUAUGAUAAAUUGUUUAUGCUUUUUUUUUUUUUUUUUUAAACAUUUCAGCAGCUAAUUCAUGAGACCAAAUGAAAGACUGAAGGACAAUAACAUCACAUUCUACACAAGACAGCAGUCCAGAUUUUAUGUAACACACUACCAGACUAUUAAACCUGUACAACCUGUACUUUGUACACAAUCUCAAAUUGGCAGUAAAUUUGCAUAAAGCUUUAUUUUUAUUUUUUUUUACCUAAUACUUCUUACUAGAAUCAAAAUCCAGUCUGCAGUAACUGCAACAUUCCCACACAUCACAGUAAUAAAAGAGACAAGUUUAAUGAAACUACACAAGACUAUCAUGCAUUAAAUUCUGCAGAGGUACAAUUGUACAGACAGGGAGAAUCAAAUAAAGAACUCCAUUAGCAACAGAUUAGGAUCUACAAGAAAACAUUUACAAAGACAGACAUCAAGAUAUAAAGGUCUCAUCCAUCCAGUCUACUGUUGCGACAAGCAGUCCUGUAGUACAUGCUAUCAAAUUUUAAACUUGGGAGCCCAGGCUGCAAUACUGGAUAGGAAUAUCGCAUACAUAGCCUCUUAUGUACAGCCAAAUAUCCAAAUGAAUUUAUAUUCUAUAAAUACUAAAGUAUUUAAAUAAAAGCAUAUAUAUGCUCCAACAGUACCAAAUAAUAGCAGAUUUGUACUUGUAAAAUCUAAGUUUCUUAUUUACAAGUAACUGUCAGCCUCUUCAAGAGAAAGGAAUACGUGCGCCUGUUGGUAAACCACAGUAAACUAGGCUGUGCUAAUAACAUGCCUGUUGCACCCCUUAUCAGCUGAGGAGCAAAAUGAGCUAGAGAGCAUCUGCCAGCACAGAAAAUAGUUAUGUAGCCUGUGGUAGUAUGUCAAAUUAGAGAGUAGAAAAACUGAAAUAUCAAAUACAUAUUUUACUGUAAACGUCAUCCACAGCUAUUAAUCAAUUCAUAUGAAAGACAACUAACACUUCUACAGAACCACGUGGAAACCAUUAACUCCCCAAAUAAAGAAAAAUGCCCAAAAGGUACUAAUCAUUGUCCUGUGCAAUGCUCCUGAUAUACUCCUCAUUCACACGAAAGCAAGUCUCCAAUUCAUUCCUACAUUUUUAACUGUCUUGGUUCUGUAUGUAUCAGAUCUCUCUCUUGGUUUCAAACAUGCUCUCCAAAAUCACACACAAACCUCAAACACUGGUAAUCCAAAAUCUGGGAAAAGCCAGCUUAAGAACAUUACCAUCACAGCAUCAAAAUGCAUCUCUACUUUGAGAAGGACGCUACGUAUCGCUGACAAUAAAAUCCAAAAGGCAAAUCAAGAUUCCAGUAUAUGCCAUGGAAAGAAAAAUAAUUCGGACAUUAUCAAAUUAAUUUUGAAAGACUACAAAAUUACUUGAAAUGAAAAUAAGUCUGCUUUAGCACAGAAAUUCUCAACAGCAAAAGGCAGUAAUUGAAAGUAAGAACUAUCACUUCAUACAGAAGCUCAUAGAUUUUCAUUAUUGAAAUUCUUAAAACAAGGAGCAGACUGACUAAAGAGAACAAAUUCCUCCUUUUGUGAUACCUUGAACUUCACACAAGAGAACUCAUUCAUAUAUAUUCUCUAAUAUAUAUGCAUAGAGAAGGAAGUGCUGAUUAAAUAUGAAAACAGUAGUGACUUAAUGACUUCUUCCAUAGACAAAUGUAAACCCUGAACUGCUCAAGAACUUUCAGCAUUCAUCACUAAUUCUAAAUACUGAAAAACUGCCACUGUGAAACUUAUAGUUUCCUCAGUGCUGUUUUAGUGACUUCCCAGUUCCACUGUCAGCAUCACCAUGUCUUACAGUUCACCUGAUGAUUUCUAGUUCUUGUUUUAGAACAGGGAACAGUAUACACUUCAUAGAGUCAAAAUCUCUCAAUUCAUUACUCAUACUAAAAUUUCUUCUAUCUAGUCAGUAUGCGAGGUUAAGAUGCAUUAACUCAAAAAAA